CCUGUACUACCGAUAACCGUUUGAGAGAUGGGAUGACACAGUAGGAUAAGCUAAGCACACUGUUGGUUAUGUGUGCCCAAGCAUUGAGGCAGUCAAAGUAGGUAAAUCCGCUUUGAUAAUGCUGGGAGGUGAUGGGGAGCGAAAUUUAGUAGCGAAGUAGCUGAUUUCACACUGUCAAGAAAAGUCUCUAUCGAGGUUAAAGGUACCCGUACCGCAAACCGACACAGGUG
This 230-nucleotide ribosomal RNA is filed under the name Clostridioides difficile. RNAcentral's name for it is "partial 23S ribosomal RNA". It matches the Rfam family "Bacterial large subunit ribosomal RNA", at positions 1438 to 1665 of the family's 2925-position model. The record is from RNAcentral. Lineage: Bacteria; Bacillati; Bacillota; Clostridia; Peptostreptococcales; Peptostreptococcaceae.